UACUAUCUCUCAGAAAUCUUUUAUCUCAUUUUUCUCUCUCGAUAAGAAGGUAAGAAAACAUUAAACGAAAAUGCACGUACGGCGACUUACGUCCGUAUCAUGUUUUUAUAGUUUAAAUUGGUUUCGGGUUUAAAAAAAAAUAUUCUUACCUGGAAUAUUCAUAUGCAAGUAUUUAUCGGUAAAAUUUUAUUAAGUUAGAUACACUAGCCAAUAUAAUCUAAAUUAUUUGAAUAACAUUAAGAGUUAAGAGUUAAAAUCCUGAUUUUUAGAAAACAAAUUAAAAAAAAAUUCUUGAAAUGAAGAUAGUAUGCACAAAUAUUAGGAUUCGUAAAAAUACAUUUCGAUAUUCGGCCAUUUAAUUUUUAGGACAUUCUGACGCUUAUUAUCCAGUUUAUCUCGUUGAAGAAGCAAUCACCCCUGUUACCGAUGCCAAGAUAUACGAGAAGACGUCUUCUCCGUUACCGCUUUAAAAAAAAAAUGUUUUUAUAAUACUUCAAGUUUUAGGUCCGACUUUGUAAAGAGUUUACCAAAAAAAGAUUUGUGUGGUCAUGUGGGCGGAUUAGAAGAUAUACAAAUGUAUUUACCAACUAAAACUUAGACAUACUAAAUCUGAACGGUCUGAGUUAAAAAAGAAACACAGCUGACAGAUUUAACCCAUAAAUUUAUUCAAUGCUGGAAAAUAAACAAAAAUACAUGCAUACCUUCUGCGUACUUGUCAAAUGGAAAUUGACAAAGCAAAAAAAAUCAUACUUAAGUUUCAAAAUGACAGUUUAAAUAUCAAUUUUGCUUGUGUUCAAGGCGCCAAAAGAAGAACCUACAACUUAAACACAAAGGUUAAAAAUGUCGAAACAUGCAGGAACUGAUUUCUGAAACAUUUGUUUAACACAAGGAAAGUCCGGCAGGACAUAACUCAAAACAAUCAAUAAAACUUUCUCACAAGUUGUAAUUGUGAGGGACUAAACUAAAUGGAGCAAGCCUUUGCCAUCAGAAAUUGUAUUUAAGCUCUUAUUGAAAAAUAUGCAAAAACUUUUUUAAUUUGUCCAAUAAUUAUUCAGUUGAAAAUGUCUUGGGACCUUGGGAGGCAAAUUUUAAUCACAAAAAAAAAAUAAACAAAAAUAUGAAUUUAUUAUCCUUUGGUUUUCAAGAUGUCAGGAGCAUCUCUAAUCUUAGUUGUCCACGACAAUUUUUUUUCUGAUGUUAAUUUUGUUGUUCUGAUUAAAGUAUAAAAAUAUAUCAAUAUUAUUCUUAAAGUAAGAUUUAUGUAAGUCAUCUGGAGAAAAUGCUUUUAAACUUAAGCUUAUUUCAAAAAAGGCUAAACUACAAAGCACUCGAAAUCUGUUAAUUAUUAUUUUUUUUUUAAGAUAAAUUAAAAUACAUUUGUGUCACUUCUUUUAAUUUAUCUAAAUUUUCGGUCACUUAAUACUUUACGAAACAUAAACCAGAUGACAAUCUUACGAAUGGGAAGGUAAAAUAAAAUUAAUGUACCUAGCAGUCAAAGCGUGAAACCACAUCUUUUAAUUUUAUUCCCUCCGAGUAUCUAUAGGUGUCUGUCUAUACUAAUGUACAUAAGUGUAGGCAGUUAUCCUACAAACAAUUUAUUGUUGUGUUAAAAAAUCUUUGCUAAUAGAAUUUAAAAUGUAUGUACGUGGAUGCUCCUGCUGCAGAAAAUAUCUGAGUUAUGCCCUAGUAACAGGAAGGCUGAUACAAACCAAUCAAUUUAAAUUAUGACAAGAAACGCAAUAGCCUUCAAAAUAUUUGCUACAAAUAUUCAAGAUAAAGUGGGAGGCAGGGUUUUCGUGAUUCUUCCAAAAAUAAAAUGCCCGACUGGGUCACGCGUCCAUUUAUGUUAAAAUAGCUAAAGUCAUGCUUGAACCAAACUUAAUCCAUAGCUAAUUCGCCGAAAUCGGAGAGUUAAAUUCCUGAACCGAGUUGGGUGGAAAGGUGUUUUUUCGCGGACAAGAGGGAGGGGUUGAAGGUCAAAUAUAUACUGAAAAAAAUUGUUUGUCGAAUAUCAUCAUAUGACACAUGUUUUCAAGGUAUUUUUUUAUGCUAAAUCUAAUGACAUAAAAAUAAAGUCAAUACGAUUGCUCUAAGAAAAGUUAUUGGCGAUUAAAAACAAGGGUGCUUGUUUUUUUUGGUUUUUUGACCUCAACAGGUAAAAUAAAACCAACACCCAUGUGAAAAAUAUGCUUCACUGAUAAAAUUCGGGAUGAAGGUUUUAGAUAAAGCAGGACCAAAGGGUUCAUAAAGUUCUUAAAAUUAUUUUUGGUGAAAGGGUGUUUUUUUGAUGGGUUAAGUUGUGUGUGAGAAAGGUAUCAUAACAGCUGACUUAAAUUUUAUUAAUUUUUAAAACUUGGUGUAAAAGUUUUGGUUGGUAUAACAAUUAAGAAUCUAUAAAGUGUACAAAAUUAUCUUGAGUGAAAGGGUGUUUUUUUUUAUGAAAUCAUUAAAUUCGGAAUAAGUACCACAAAAACUGGGAAAAAAUUGUUACACCAAUGAAAAUUGUUAAAAAUGUUUCGCUUAUAACAGAAACCAAGAACCCAAACAGUCUAUACAAAUAUUUUAGGUAAAAGGGUGUUUUUUUUUUAAAUAGGGAAAAUCCGCGAUAAGUCCCAUAAAAUCAAUGGUAUAAAAGGUACCCUUACGAAAUUCAUUAAAUAUGUUCUCUUUCCCAUAGGAAUUACGAAUAAAAGAAAUCUAUACAUUUUUUUCAUGUGAAAGGGUUUUUUAUUUAGGUGUAGAGAAAAUAUGGGUAUAUUUGAAAAAGUGUGUAAUACUAGAGUAAUAUUAGUGGUACCCUAUUGAAAUUCAGUAAUUAUGUUACUCUUAAGAUAAGAAACAAGAAACUAAAGGGUCUAUAAAAAUAUCAUGGUCAAAAGGGUGUUUUUUUGAGUGGAAACAAAAAUGAUGGGUCACCCUAAUAAAAUUUGGUAAAAAUUUUGAAUUUGGGAUAGAAAGCAUAAAAAAAAUUCAGGUGAAAGGGUGAGGCAGUAAAAUCUGUAAUUGGUCCUAAUAAAAUUUAAGUCUAAAAAAUAGACAGUAAUAUCAGCAUUUUUAUUUUCAUGAUGAAUAAUAAUCAC
Long non-coding RNA from Episyrphus balteatus (marmalade hoverfly), 3080 nucleotides. RefSeq lists it as uncharacterized. Lineage: Eukaryota; Metazoa; Arthropoda; Insecta; Diptera; Syrphidae. The record is from RefSeq and is a predicted model, not a curated record. The transcript has 3 exons.